RNAcentral lists this ribosomal RNA (535 nucleotides) under Calacalles moraguesi. Its description in RNAcentral is "partial 16S ribosomal RNA". It matches the Rfam family "Archaeal large subunit ribosomal RNA", at positions 1917 to 2694 of the family's 2987-position model. Lineage: Eukaryota; Metazoa; Arthropoda; Insecta; Coleoptera; Curculionidae. The record is from RNAcentral.
GGCAUUUUGAUAAUAAUUUAAGGUCGGGCCUGCUCAAUGAAAAAUUUUAAAUGGCCGCGGUAUUUUAACCGUGCAAAGGUAGCAUAAUCAUUAGUUUUUUAAUUGGAAGCUGGAAUGAAGGGUUUAAUGAAAAAAUUACUGUCUCUAUCUAAAUUCAUUAGAAAUUUAUUUUUAAGUAAAAAAGCUUAAAUAAAUAUUAAAGACGAGAAGACCCUAUAGAGUUUUAUACCUGGGGAAUUUAUUGUAUUUAGAAUUUUUAAAUUAUUUUUAAAAGGUAUUUAGUUGGGGUGAUUGAAAAAUUAAAGUAACUUUUUUUUAAAUAAAACAUUAAUUUAUGAUUAAUUGAUCCUUUUUUUAGAUUAAAAGAUAAAAUUACCUUAGGGAUAACAGCGUAAUUUUUUUAAAAGUUCUUAUUGAAAAAAAAGAUUGCGACCUCGAUGUUGGAUUAAAAUUAAAUUGCUGGCGCAAAAGCUGGAGUUAUUAGGUCUGUUCGACCUUUAAAAUUUUACAUGAUCUGAGUUUAGACCGGUAUGAG